This 466-nucleotide ribosomal RNA is filed under the name uncultured bacterium. Its description in RNAcentral is "bacterial SSU rRNA". It matches the Rfam family "Bacterial small subunit ribosomal RNA", at positions 329 to 793 of the family's 1533-position model. The record is from RNAcentral.
GUCCAGACUCCUACGGGAGGCAGCAGUGAGGAAUAUUGGUCAAUGGCCGAGAGGCUGAACCAGCCAAGUCGCGUGAGGGAAGACGGCCCUACGGGUUGUAAACCUCUUUUGUCGGGGAGCAAGGCGAGUCACGUGUGACUCAUUGAGAGUACCCGAAGAAAAAGCAUCGGCUAACUCCGUGCCAGCAGCCGCGGUAAUACGGAGGAUGCGAGCGUUAUCCGGAUUUAUCGGGUUUAAAGGGUGCGCAGGCGGAGGUGCAAGUCAGCGGUCAAAUUGCGGGGCUCAACCCCGUACUGCCGUUGAAACUGGCGUGCUCGAGUUGGAGAGAAGUAUGCGGAAUUCGUGGUGUAGCGGUGAAAUGCAUAGAUAUCACGAAGAACCCCGAUUGCGAAGGCAGCAUACCGGCUCCACACUGACGCUGAGGCACGAAAGCGUGGGUAUCGAACAGGAUUAGAUACCCCGGUAA